Molecule: ribosomal RNA, 560 nt
Filed under: uncultured bacterium
Lineage: Bacteria
Description: partial 16S ribosomal RNA
Rfam family: Bacterial small subunit ribosomal RNA
Source: RNAcentral
UGGGGAAUUUUGGGAUCAAUGGGCGAAAGCCUGAUCCAGCAAUGCCGCGUGUGUGAAGAAGGCCUUCGGGUUGUAAAGCACUUUUGUCCGGAAAGAAAUCCUUGGCUCUAAUACAGUCGGGGGAUGACGGUACCGGAAGAAUAAGCACCGGCUAACUACGUGCCAGCAGCCGCGGUAAUACGUAGGGUGCAAGCGUUAAUCGGAAUUACUGGGCGUAAAGCGUGCGCAGGCGGUUUGCUAAGACCGAUGUGAAAUCCCCGGGCUCAACCUGGGAACUGCAUUGGUGACUGGCAGGCUAGAGUAUGGCAGAGGGGGGUAGAACUCCACGUGUAGCAGUGAAAUGCGUAGAGAUGUGGAGGAAUACCGAUGGCGAAGGCAGCCCCCUGGGCCAAGUACUGACGCUCAUGCACGAAAGCGUGGGGAGCAAACAGGAUUAGAUACCCCUGGUAGUCCACGCCCCUAAACGAUGUCAACUAGUUUGUUGGGGGAUUCAUUUUCCUUAGUAACGUAGCUAACGCGUGAAGUUGACCGCCUGGGGAGUACGGUCGCAAGAUUAAAAC